GUUUUUAUAAUUGAAAAUGAUGGUUUUUCAUAUCAUUAGUCAUGGUUAUAAUCCUUGUAGGAAUA
This is a transfer RNA of Pan troglodytes (chimpanzee), 65 nucleotides long. It matches the Rfam family "tRNA". Rfam says of the family: Transfer RNA (tRNA) molecules are approximately 80 nucleotides in length. Their secondary structure includes four short double-helical elements and three loops (D, anti-codon, and T loops). The record is from Rfam. Lineage: Eukaryota; Metazoa; Chordata; Mammalia; Primates; Hominidae.